AUUGAACGCUGGCGGCAUGCCUAACACAUGCAAGUCGAACGGCAGCACAGGUGUAGCUUGCUACACUGGGUGGCGAGUGGCGGACGGGUGAGUAACGCGUGGGUAUAUAUCCUAAAGACGGGGACAACUUGCGGAAACGCGAGCUAAUACCGGAUACGCUCUGAGGAGGAAAGCUGGGGAUCUGGCGACAGACCUGGCGCUUUAGGGGUAACCUGCGUCCGAUUAGCUAGUUGGUAGGGUAAAGGCCUACCAAGGCGACGAUUGGUAGCUGGUCUGAGAGGACGAACAGCCACACUGGGACUGAGACACGGCCCAGACUCCUACGGGAGGCAGCAGUGGGGAAUAUUGGACAAUGGGGGCAACCCUGAUCCAGCAAUGCCGCGUGUGUGAAGAAGGCCUGCGGGUUGUAAAGCACUUUAGUUAGGGAGGAGGGCAUGCAGGUUAAGAGCUAGUAUGCUGGACGAUACCUAAAGAAUAAGCACCGGCUAACUCCGUGCCAGCCGCCGCGGUAA
Molecule: ribosomal RNA, 512 nt
Filed under: uncultured bacterium
Lineage: Bacteria
Description: partial 16S ribosomal RNA
Rfam family: Bacterial small subunit ribosomal RNA
Source: RNAcentral